UGCAAGUCGAACGAACUCUGGUAUUGAUUGGUGCUUGCAUCAUGAUUUACAUUUGAGUGAGUGGCGAACUGGUGAGUAACACGUGGGAAACCUGCCCAGAAGCGGGGGAUAACACCUGGAAACAGAUGCUAAUACCGCAUAACAACUUGGACCGCAUGGUCCGAGUUUGAAAGAUGGCUUCGGCUAUCACUUUUGGAUGGUCCCGCGGCGUAUUAGCUAGAUGGUGGGGUAACGGCUCACCAUGGCAAUGAUACGUAGCCGACCUGAGAGGGUAAUCGGCCACAUUGGGACUGAGACACGGCCCAAACUCCUACGGGAGGCAGCAGUAGGGAAUCUUCCACAAUGGACGAAAGUCUGAUGGAGCAACGCCGCGUGAGUGAAGAAGGGUUUCGGCUCGUAAAACUCUGUUGUUAAAGAAGAACAUAUCUGAGAGUAACUGUUCAGGUAUUGACGGUAUUUAACCAGAAAGCCACGGCUAACUACGUGCCAGCAGCCGCGGUAAUACGUAGGUGGCAAGCGUUGUCCGGAUUUAUUGGGCGUAAAGCGAGCGCAGGCGGUUUUUUAAGUCUGAUGUGAAAGCCUUCGGCUCAACCGAAGAAGUGCAUCGGAAACUGGGAAACUUGAGUGCAGAAGAGGACAGUGGAACUCCAUGUGUAGCGGUGAAAUGCGUAGAUAUAUGGAAGAACACCAGUGGCGAAGGCGGCUGUCUGGUCUGUAACUGACGCUGAGGCUCGAAAGUAUGGGUAGCAAACAGGAUUAGAUACCCUGGUAGUCCAUACCGUAAACGAUGAAUGCUAAGUGUUGGAGGGUUUCCGCCCUUCAGUGCUGCAGCUAACGCAUUAAGCAUUCCGCCUGGGGAGUACGGCCGCAAGGCUGAAACUCAAAGGAAUUGACGGGGGCCCGCACAAGCGGUGGAGCAUGUGGUUUAAUUCGAAGCUACGCGAAGAACCUUACCAGGUCUUGACAUACUAUGCAAAUCUAAAAGAUUAGACGUUCCCUUCGGGGACAUGGAUACAGGUGGUGCAUGGUUGUCGUCAGCUCGUGUCGUGAGAUGUUGGGUUAAGUCCCGCAACGAGCGCAACCCUUAUUAUCAGUUGCCAGCAUUAAGUUGGGCACUCUGGUGAGACUGCCGGUGACAAACCGGAGGAAGGUGGGGAUGACGUCAAAUCAUCAUGCCCCUUAUGACCUGGGCUACACACGUGCUACAAUGGAUGGUACAACGAGUUGCGAACUCGCGAGAGUAAGCUAAUCUCUUAAAGCCAUUCUCAGUUCGGAUUGUAGGCUGCAACUCGCCUACAUGAAGUCGGAAUCGCUAGUAAUCGCGGAUCAGCAUGCCGCGGUGAAUACGUUCCCGGGCCUUGUACACACCGCCCGUCACACCAUGAGAGUUUGUAACACCCAAAGUCGGUGGGGUAACUUUUAGGAACCA
This 1429-nucleotide ribosomal RNA is filed under the name Lactiplantibacillus pentosus. RNAcentral's name for it is "bacterial SSU rRNA". It matches the Rfam family "Bacterial small subunit ribosomal RNA". The record is from RNAcentral. Lineage: Bacteria; Bacillati; Bacillota; Bacilli; Lactobacillales; Lactobacillaceae.